Bacillus rossius redtenbacheri is the source of this 2196-nucleotide long non-coding RNA. RefSeq lists it as uncharacterized. The transcript is spliced from 2 exons. Lineage: Eukaryota; Metazoa; Arthropoda; Insecta; Phasmatodea; Bacillidae. The record is from RefSeq and is a predicted model, not a curated record.
UGUCAAGGUAGUUCUUUACAGUCAUCUGCAAAUCAAAUGCAGUCAGUGGGAACCCAUAAGUUGACAUAGCAAUAAUGUACUUCGCAAACAAGCCUUCUUCAUCGCUGGAAAAUGUUGUCUGCCCACCUGAAGCAUUUGGAUGUUUACCAUGGAUUUUUCCAGAAAGUGUGUUUCUGUGAAUGCCAUAUCUGUAACAAUAUUAACCAAGUAUCAGUAUAGAUACAGGAAAUGUUAUUGCACAGAAAAAGUGUAAAGAAGUUACAAAAUUUUUGGUAACUUACUUUUCAGCAGCUGCACGAACAGAAAUCUUCUUUGCACGAACCUCAUUCAAAGCUUUUUCCAGAUUUUUUUCUGAAUAAUUUUUAUAUUGACGACUUCCACGCUUUCUCACAUAGUGCCGCACCAUUAUUAAUGAACCUAAAAUGAAAAAACAAAAAUACCAACAUGCAUUACUCUCGUUUUAAUAAAAGUAAUUCUGCAAUGUGUUCUUUCGAAAUGGUAUUGAUGGAAAAAAUUGAGCUAGCAGUUUUUUUUAUUAUUUAUUAUUGUUGGUGUGAAUUAUAUUUAUAUAAUUGUUGCUUUAACUUUGGUAUUUAGGCUAGAUUGUUUUUAUGUUGAUCCAAGAUGGCGUCGAUUGUUCUACUCAAGAUGCUGAUGACUCCCAAAGAGUCCAAAUGGGAAAGGUCUACACGGAUAGCUCUGAACAGCAAGUGUGAACACAUCCCUGGUGUACGCUCACUCCGGCAGCCAGACGCAGACCGGCGGAGUGGUUGAUGGAACAGGAGAGCAGAGGGAGCUAGCAACUGUUCCACACAAGUCACGAGUGGCACUGCCUUGCGCAACACUUCAACCUCACGGGCCUCGCAAAACAAAUUUCAGGCUGUAAUAGUCUCGUUGAAUAAUUUGUAGGGAAGAGAGAAAUAAUGCUGAACAAAAUGCACCACUCUUGGAUGUCAGAAAUAAAAGUUUAGCUCCAUAUAUUUCCUGACUGUUCAUAUCCUAGCUUCUUAUGCUGCAUUUUUAAACACAUUUGAAAUAAUUAUGACAGUGUCAAUGCAUGCACUCGACAAUACCCUAACAAACUUAAGGUGCAUGGCACUUAACAUAUCUGCACAUUGUACAAAUUAAUUAAUUUUCUGUCACACAAUAUGAUCUUACAAAAAAAAAUGGCUCACACUUGAAACAAUGUGGUACUAGAUAAUAUAAGCCCAAGCAGUUGUUUUAUUGAACUGAACAAUGUAUUUGUGGUACACUUGCUGUUCAAUACAAAAGCUUGAAUAUGUAUAUCUUUACUGUACUGAAAACCACAAACAGUCACUAACCAGACAACAUACUACUGUACGUAACAAAAAAAAUUAGUUGAGAAAACAAACUGAGGUACAAACACUAUUACUUCCAUAAACAUUUCCAUUAAGAUGUGCGGACAAAGUAGCAUGGUGAACAUCUUCAACAAGUCUACAAUUUAACAUAAGCCAUGUUUGUCAGACAGCAAUGUUCAAAUAAACUGCUUAAACUGCCAAAACAAUAAUUAGCAAAACAUACAGUUUUAAAUUCUUUCAUUACUUCAGAGGUAAUUCACAUACUGUUACAAGGAUGCUAGAGAUGGGGCAGGCCUGUGUUGCGAGGCAGGCCGGCCAACCCGACGCACCGGCCAGCGGGAGUUCAGGGGAGGCCUCACCUUCUCGCACACAGUCCCUCCCCUACCGUUACACGGAUAUCCAACUAGCAGCUGCACCUCUCUGUCCCGUCCACGUGAAGUGGCGUAACUAGGACGCCACUGUUCUGGCUGCUGAGGGCUACCAGACCUGUCCCGGGCGGGGCUCGCAGGCACGCAAGGCGACGACGACGACCUCCUGCGGGGGGCUGGUGGCCAUACCGGGGGAUCCUCGGAGGUACCCGCCAGAGCGGGCCUCGUGUGCGGAGACCGGAGCAACGGGAACAGUGUCGCGGCGUGGAGCGAGUAGCCCGAGGCAGUGUGCUGGGACCGGGACGAACAGCAGAGAGAGCCAUUGUCCAGUCGAGGUCCAGUGGACUCACGAAAGUGGGAUUACUUUGUGGAAAAACAAAUUGUCAUAAUUUAAUUAAUAGUGAAAAUAUUAGCUAAUAAAAACUACAAUUAAUUAAUUGGGCUAUCCUGUUGGACUUGUUUUUCCCACUUGUAACAAUAUGUAUCCCUAUAAUUAAAAAGCUAUUAAA